GUUCUGUUGAAAGGCAAACAUCUACCAUUGAAAUACAAUAAUAGAUCUAAAAGCUGCAGAGUCCAUAGAACAAGAAAUAAGGGUAAUACAUAUAUUUCUACAUAAUUGGCAAAUCAAGCAACCAAAUCCAAAAUUAAUUUUGCAGAUCUAUUUCCAGCUUUCUACAUAGAGAGCCAAAGAUUUUCUGCUAAGAAUUAAUGACUCUGAUAUCCCAUCUUUUACGCUACUACAUGAGAAUAAAUAUAUAGAUACAUAUAACCAAGUGAUUGUGCAUAGAAAGAUGAUAUAUGGAUCAAAGUCCAGUGCUCCCAAUAGCUUUAGUAAGGCCAUAAGUUAUUCCUAUAGCCAACCAUCCGCCAACAAGAACCCUCAAAGAUGACCUAACAACUGGUGCAUGUCCUAAGACUGCACCUAGCCAUCCAAACCCUAUCAAGCCAAGGCUAGCCAAACCUAUCACAACCCCAACCCUCGCUACAUAAUCCUUCACAAAAACCGCCCCAAAAAGCGGUAUCACGGCUCCCACGGAAAAGGUAAAGGCUGAAGCGAUGGCGGCCUGCAAAGGGCUUGGCAAAUGUUUCUUCUUCUCCUCAAGUUCACUUGCAGAUCUGGUCUCUCUUUUCAGCUGAGCCAAUUCUGUGUCAUAUUGUGAAUAGACAGAAACAAAUUCUCCAAUGGCCAUGCUACAGGCACCACCGAUUAAACCAGCGAUACCUGAGAGAAUCAUGGUCUUGGGAUCUUGACGAACAGCUCCAACACCCAUUAUUAAGGAAGUUGUGGAAAGCAGACCAUCGUUUGCACCAAGAACAGCAGCUCGAAGCCACUGUGCCCUUUUGGAAUAGUUGAAGAUCACUUCAACUUCUUCCAGUUCAUGGUUUCUUUGAUUCUCAAGAUCAGUAAAAGGUUGUGGUGUUUCGGUUUCCUUAAAGGAGGAUUGGAUUUGGUUUGAUUCUUGAGGUGCUUCCAUGAGGAAAUUUGAGGUUUUGCAUAUUGAGAAGUGUG
RNAcentral lists this unclassified non-coding RNA (999 nucleotides) under Hevea brasiliensis (rubber tree). Lineage: Eukaryota; Viridiplantae; Streptophyta; Magnoliopsida; Malpighiales; Euphorbiaceae. The record is from RNAcentral.